AGAGUUUGAUCCUGGCUCAGGACGAACGCUGGCGGCGUGCUUGAUACAUGCAAGUCAAGGAGAACAUUAUCUUCGGAUAAUAAGUAAACUGGCGAACGGGUGAGUAACGCGUAAACAACUUGCCUCAGAGAUUGGGACAACAUUGGGAAACCAGUGCUAAUACCAAAUAAUGCAGCGGGCUCUUCGGAGCACAGUUGUUAAAGUAGGCUUCGGCUUACACUUUGAGAUAGGGUUGCGUCCGAUUAGUUAGUUGGUAGGGUAAAAGCCUACCAAGACCAAGAUCGGUAGCUGGUCUGAAAGGAUGAUCAGCCACACUGGGAAUUGAGAUACGGUCCAGACUCCUACGGGGAGGCAGCAGGUAAGGAAUUUUGCACAAUGGGGCGAAAGCCUGAUGCAGCAACGCCGCGUGAACGAUGAAGUUUUUAGGAAUGUAAAGUUCUGUCGUAUGGGAAGAGAUCUUUCGAAAUGUUAAUACCAUUCGUUAAUGACGGUACCAUACAAAGAAAGCACCGGCUAACUUCGUGCCAGCAGCCGCGGUAAUACCAGGGGGGCUAGCGUUGUCCGGAUUUACUGGGCGUAAAGGGUACGUAGGCGUUUUAAUAAGUUGUAUGUUAAAUAUCUUAGCUUAACUAAGAAAAUGCAUCCAAAACUGUUAAAAUAGAGUUUGAGAGAGGAACGCAGAAUUCAUGGUGGAGCGGUGACAUGCGUAGAUAUCAUGAGGAAAGUCAAAUGCGAAGGCAGCCUUCUGGCUCAAAACUGACGCUGAGGUACGAAAGCGUGGGUAGCGAACAGGAUUAGAUACCCUGGUAGUCCACGCCGUAAACGAUGAGUAUUUGGUGCUGGGGGAUUCGACCCUUUCAGUGCCGUAGCUAACGCGAUAAAUACUCCGCCUGGGGACUACGAUCGCAAGAUUGAAACUCAAAGGAAUUGACGGGGACCCGCACAAGCGGUGGAACAUGUGGUUUAAUUCGAUGCAACGCGAAAAACCUUACCUACACUUGACAUACUUGGAAUCUUUUGUAAUGAAAGAGUGCCUUUUGGAGCCAAGAUACAGGUGCUGCAUGGCUGUCGUCAGCUCGUGUCGUGAGAUGUUGGGUUAAGUCCCAUAACGAGCGCAACCCUUACCCUUAUUUGCCAGCGAUUCGGUCGGGAACUAUAAGGGGACUGCCGGUGAUAAACCGGAGGAAGGUGAGGACGACGUCAAGUCAUCAUGGCCCUUACGUGUAGGGCUACACACGUGCUACAAUGGGGAGUACAGAUAGACGCUAAAGCGCGAGCUGGUGCUAAUCUCAUAAAACUCUUCGUAGUCCGGAUUGCAGUCUGCAACUCGACUGCAUGAAGUCGGAAUCGCUAGUAAUCGCGAAUCAGCAUGUCGCGGUGAAUACGUUCUCGGGUCUUGUACACACCGCCCGUCACACCAUGGGAGUGUAUUGCACCAGAAGUGGGUAGUCUAACCUUCGGGAGGGCGCUCACCACGGUGUGGUCCAUGACUGGGGUGAAGUCGUAACAAGGUA
RNAcentral lists this ribosomal RNA (1514 nucleotides) under uncultured bacterium. Its description in RNAcentral is "partial 16S ribosomal RNA". It matches the Rfam family "Bacterial small subunit ribosomal RNA". The record is from RNAcentral.